This is a long non-coding RNA of Apus apus (common swift), 5229 nucleotides long. RefSeq lists it as uncharacterized. NCBI's taxonomy places the organism in Eukaryota, Metazoa, Chordata, Aves, Apodiformes, Apodidae. The transcript is spliced from 3 exons. The record is from RefSeq and is a predicted model, not a curated record.
UGUUUAACAGACUUCUGUUUAAUUUUAGAAGAUGUUAUUAUACUAACAUGUAUUUGUUUUACAGACAUUACUUUUUGCUUCCCCAUUUGCAAGAUUUGGACAGACUGGAGGUCUGGGCAAAGAGGAACCUAAUGAAGUUCAACAAGAAUAAGUCUAGAGUCCUGCACCUGGGGAGGAAUAACCCCAUGCACCAGUACAGAUUAGGAUCUGACCUGCUAGGAAGCAGCUCUGUGGAGAAGGACCUCGGAGUCCUGAGGGACAACAAGUUAUCCAUGGGACAACAAUGUGCCCUUGUGGCCAAGAAGGCCAGUGGUAUCCUGGGGUACAUUAAGAAGAGUGUGUCCAGCAGGUCGAGGGAGGUUCUCCCCCUCUACUCUGUCCUAGUGAACCACAUCUGGAGAAUUGUGUCCAGUUCUGGGCUCCCCAGUUCAAGAGGGACAGAGAUUUACUAUAGAGAGUCCAACGGAGGGCUAUGAGGGUGAUUAAGGGACACUUGUCUUAUGAGAAAAGGCUGAGAGACCUGAGACUGUCUAAGCUAGAGAAGAGAAGACUGAGAGGGGAUCUUAUUCAUGUAUACAAAUAUCUGAGUGGUGGGUGUCAAGAAGGAGGGACCAAUCUCUUUUCAGUCAUGCCCUGUGAUAGAACAAGGAGCAAUGGGACACAAACUGGAGCAAAGGAAGUUCACCUCAGGAUGAGGAAAAAGGUCUUUACUGUGAGGGUGACAGAGCACUGGAACAGGCUGACCAGAGAGGUUGUGGAGUCUCCUUCUCUGGAUACUUUCAAGACCCGUCUGGAUGCGUUUCUGUGUGACCUGCCCUAGGUGUUCCUGCUACAGCAGGAGCAAUGGACUCCAUCUCCAGAGGUCCCUUUUAUACCCUAACAUUCUAUUACUCUGUUAUUCUAUGAAAAAUGAUGUUUUAUUCACAACUGGUAAAUCAACGAGUACAAAAAUGAUGAAGAAAAAUAUGUCAGGAACAUUAAAAAUAAUUAAAAUAAGAUGACCUUUCUGCUCCCAAGUUAACCAUGUGAUUUAAAAAAAAAAGAGACCAGCCAGUAGGUACCAGCAAAGCUGAUUAAACUUCAAAUUUAUUUCCCCACACAUAACACCAAAUUUGGAAAAGCAACGUUAUAUAUUCACUGUGUUUCAUGCUUGGUGUUGCAUGAGUGAAUCUAUUUCUGUUUGACCAAAAGGCCUUAGAGGACCAGAUCAACACUGAAAGAAAAUCCCAAUUGCAUUAAGAGCACAUCACUGUAUUCCUAUUCCAAAAUCCUUUUUCAAAUACCAAAGCAAAAAAAAAAAAGAAAAAGAAAUGUAAUGCAUCUUGAUCUAGGAAUGUGAAAUGGAGGAUCAAAAUGGCAACUUCAAUUUGUUGUUUUUAAAAAAGUCCUCUCCUUGUGGGACCCCAGUCUUGCCUAGAAAGCUGAUGGACCUUUUUGCAAACAUCUUGCUCAAGCAUCUCUGAAACACUCAGGAAUACAAUUGGCUUUCCAGACUGUAAUACUGUCUUCUUAAGAUGGCGAGUACCCAAAGUGUUUUGAUGUACAUUUAAAAUUGACACCUGAUCCAUAUAUUCUUCCCUGUGCAAGAAAACCUGGUUCCAUGGUUGAGUUCUGAAGCCCUUGCUUUUUUGAAAAAAAGUGAGUGGUCCAGAAAAGCAGCAGGUCCAUUCGUAAUGUUGAGGGAGUACCAUUACAGAUGAGGUCUGUAGAGGUGCAGUUUUUUAGGGUAUCUCUAAAGUUAGAUCCUAGCCAUGCUGUAUUGCAUAAGUGAUGAUGAUUUGGCAGUAAUUAUAAGAUCUGCAAUAUAUUCAGAGCCUGAUUAACUUUAUUGCUUUCCUCCAAAUGUAUUUCUCUAUAUGGUGCUACUUGGAGCAGGCGGCUGGAGCAAAACAACAAGGUUGCAGCUGUUGAAAAAUGUGUACAGCAUCCACAAUGUGUAAUACAAAUCAACAAGUGCCACUGAGAGACAGAGGGAAAUACACUUCAAAUUUUGGCCAGAAAGAGGCAGCAGGGACAGCACUCUAAGAGAUCUUCCAAAGGAUGCAAAGUUUUUGAUGAAUUGAGAAGUGAAGAUAAUGGAGUCAGGGAAAUAUGGUCUGCUUGAUGACUGAAGAUAUAUAUUAAUUUCCCAUGAAGAUUUGGCAUUUCUGCUUUACAGAAAUGGUUUCCACCUGAAGUUUUUAACCUAAACCAAAACAAUUGCAUAAACCAACAGUGCUAAAGCUUCAAUAUUAAUGCAAACUUCUUCCUUCUAAAUCUCUUGGACCCCAGAAUUGGAGCUGGAUACAGCACAAAUUUAAGUUUUAAAUUUAGAGGAAACUCAAAUCACUGUGGAUCAUGUUAGUUUUCCUUGCAGCUGUCAGCCCCAUCUACGAGAAACCAGUACUUCUGAGCUGCUGAAAAUCUAUAUAUUUGGAUCAGUAUGUCAAGAUCAAUUAAGAAAGUAUCUGUAGCUUUGCCAUGCAAGAUUUUCAGCUUUACAUUUUCUUAUCUAAUUGUAUUUGUCUGAAGUAAAGUAAGUGCCAAAAGAAGAGAGGGAGUGAAAAAAAAAAGAAAAAAAGAAAAAAAAAGAGAAAGAUAAUGCUGCCUGUCUCAACCAGAGCAAAAGAAACAACAACAAAUUUAUUAUAACCAAAUAACUGUGCUUCUUCCAUCUUUUUUCCUUCCCCUUCUGCUUUGUUCUCUCCUCCAAACAAAGAAGUUUCUCCUACUGGGCUUCUCCUCUGCUUACCAGAUCUGGCUCCUUUCUGCUCCCAUUUUCCCCACAGUCCCUUCCCCCACCGCCUUGCCAGUCUCUUGCCCAUUCCCACUGAUUUUCCAUCCUCCCUCCCAGCACUUCUGGUUCUUUGUUCCCACAGGACUCUGGGGAUGUGCAGCAGGAGCCCAGCUCUUCCAUUUCUUUUUAUUUUUUUUUUCUCAGGGGAAAAAUCUGGAGCAUUUGAAAUCCCAUUCACAGCAAACAAGACAAUAGCAGAGAAGAGAAGGAACGAUCAUAUACCUCAAGAAAAUGAUGUCAUAAAAUGCAGCCAUGUUUUCCUUCAGAAGGAGAUACACAUGCAACUUGCAUGCAAUUAUGACAGAUUUAAGUCAUUUGUAUAGAUUUAAGGACUUCCCUUCAUAACACGUUUGACAACAUUUUAAAAAGCACAUUUAUGCCUGUGAAGGAAAGUGAAAUUAGGCUGAACAGCCAAUUUGGACAGCAGUUGCCUCAUAAGGUUUUCAGAAAGCUUUUACACAUAGACAUAAUUAGUAUCUUUUAAAAUCUGUGUAAAGACGUUUAGCAAGCAACUAGCCUUCGGUACUAGAGUACAGAAAAGCCUCAUGUGCAUAGUAUUAACCUGCUCCUGUGGCGGUGGGCUGGGGAGGAGAAUUGCAUUCUCUUUAAAGAGGGAGAGAAAGUACAACUACCAUUUUCCCAGCUUGGAAGGCGUAUCCCAAAUUCUUCAUCAAAACCACGAAAACCAACUUUCAUAGCCACCAUACUGUGAUUAUGAGAAUAGCUGUCAAAACAUGUUUAAGCAACUAAAAAAAGGUUUAUAAAGUGAUCUAGAUGAUCUUUAAGGUCCCUUCCAACCCUAUCCAUUCUGUGAUUCUAUGAUUCUGUGAUGUGGUUCUGUUACUUAUUCACCUUAUUUCAGAAAGGUAGAUUACAAAUGAAGGACUUUUGCUUUCUAUUCAGGUUCUUCUAACAGUUUUAAAAAUCCUGCCUGCUUUCAGUUUGUUUUUGACAAAAUCAUAAGGUGUUAGUCAGCACUGAGUAAACGGAACAAGCAGCUGUCAGACCAGUCCAUCAGUCUGCUUAGGUUGUGUGGCUGCUGAGGAAGCUGAAAGUGCCUACAAAUUCAUUAUCCCUAAUAUCAAAAGAUUGAAAGAGUCAAGUGUUGCUCUGCAUCACAGCACAUAAAUUACUUUACAGGGGAAUUACCAGGCAUCCUGAUGAACCUAUGAAAAUGGGCAGAUGCUAAUAGGCAGUAAAAUAAUUUCUCUAGUUCACUUCUGCUGUUUGUUUGCAUACUGCUCUGGAACAGAAGAGAAAUUUGCUAGUAUUUCCAGCUGAAUCCUCCUCCCACACAUUGAAACAGUGAAAUUCUACUUGAGUUAGGACAACAGGAGAGGCAAUUGAAAGGGGCCCUAAGGAUUCAGACUCUUAAUCACAACUGUGACAAAACAGUGUCAUCCUUGCCUGCAAUUCCCUAGCAAUUUACAGUGCACCAGUAUAACAGGAGGAGACCUUGCAUUGCAAAGAAACCUGCCUAGAUAAACAGACCCUCACUUUCUGAUUUCCCUGCUCUUGCUGUAUUACACAAAUCCUAGUGAUUAUCAGUUACUCUGCUAUCCUGAAACCAUUUGGGAGCUACGUUUUGGCCCUGACAUUGUAUCUAAAGUUGUUCAGAAACCAAAGUCAGUACAGACUUGGGUUUCUGAAUAAUCCAUUUAAUGAGGGCAUUGCUGUAGGACUGUGUGAAUGCACAUCCACAGCCCCAGUAAGCUCCAAUAGGAGCUUAAGAGUUUUUAUUAUAGGGGCAACCUAGAAUCACUCACUCCAGCUGAACUGUGGUUUGGACUCCUCCCCAAAAGUGGCUUAAUUUUUCCAUAUAAGACAGAAAUUAAAUUGCUGGGCACCUUUUCCCUAGGAGGUACUGGAACCACCUUCCUCACAUCUGGGCUGCUCCAAGUUUAGCAGGUGUUUUAGUUUAUUAAAAAAGAAACACAUAAUUAGGAACUUGGGGAAAAAGUUGAGGAACUUCAGUGAUAACUUUCCAAAACAGAAAAAGACCUCAAGAAAGGGUUAAGAUUUUUAAUUUUUUUUAAAGUCAUUUCUGGGCUUAUUUCCUACUAAGCAAUUGCUCAAAUGUAAAAAGUUUUUGUUGGACUGUCAAGAGUAAGUUAAAUAGAUGCAAAUAAAGGCAUAUUUUAAAUUAUCUGCAUGUAAUUAAAGGUAAUUUAAAAUCUAAGGAGAAAGCAAUGUAAAGUGUAUAGGCCGAGAAAAUAUCUCAAGGAUCAAUCCUCACUUUGAAAGAGUGUGAUAUUUCUAACAACUUGCUGGUGUAUCAAUAAAUGCCAAACCCAAAUAAUUGUUUGAAAUUAUGUCCUUAAACAAAACAUAUUGAAAUUGCCAACCUCUGUUAAGCACCACAAAGAAAAGAAACUGUAUGUAUUUGGGGUGAUUUUUUAAAUACUGUAAUUUCCAUGGCUCUCUUAGGUUGUAUCUACUGUCUGUCAAAUAAA